UACGAAGGGGGCUAGCGUUGCUCGGAAUCACUGGGCGUAAAGGGCGCGUAGGCGGACUUUUAAGUCGGAGGUGAAAGCCCAGGGCUCAACCCUGGAAUUGCCUUCGAUACUGGGAGUCUUGAGUUCGGAAGAGGUUGGUGGAACUGCGAGUGUAGAGGUGAAAUUCGUAGAUAUUCGCAAGAACACCGGUGGCGAAGGCGGCCAACUGGUCCGAAACUGACGCUGAGGCGCGAAAGCGUGGGGAGCAAACAGG
Molecule: ribosomal RNA, 253 nt
Filed under: uncultured bacterium
Lineage: Bacteria
Also listed under: 1 other name
Description: partial 16S ribosomal RNA
Rfam family: Bacterial small subunit ribosomal RNA
Source: RNAcentral